Molecule: ribosomal RNA, 465 nt
Filed under: Salmonella enterica subsp. enterica serovar Anatum
Lineage: Bacteria; Pseudomonadati; Pseudomonadota; Gammaproteobacteria; Enterobacterales; Enterobacteriaceae
Description: bacterial SSU rRNA
Rfam family: Bacterial small subunit ribosomal RNA
Source: RNAcentral
CCUACGGGGGGCAGCAGUGGGGAAUUUUGGACAAUGGGGGCAACCCUGAUCCAGCCAUGCCGCGUGAGUGAAGAAGGCCUUCGGGUUGUAAAGCUCUUUCGGCCGGAACGAAACGGUCGCGGCUAAUACCUGCGUCUAAUGACGGUACCGGAAGAAGAAGCACCGGCUAACUACGUGCCAGCAGCCGCGGUAAUACGUAGGGUGCGAGCGUUAAUCGGAAUUACUGGGCGUAAAGCGUGCGCAGGCGGUUUUGUAAGACAGAUGUGAAAUCCCCGGGCUUAACCUGGGAACUGCGUUUGUGACUGCAAGGCUAGAGUGCGGCAGAGGGGGGUGGAAUUCCACGUGUAGCAGUGAAAUGCGUAGAGAUGUGGAGGAACACCGAUGGCGAAGGCAGCCCCCUGGGCUAACACUGACGCUCAUGCACGAAAGCGUGGGGAGCAAACAGGAUUAGAUACCCUUGUAGUC